RNAcentral lists this unclassified non-coding RNA (350 nucleotides) under soil metagenome. RNAcentral describes it as "partial contains 5.8S ribosomal RNA, internal transcribed spacer 2, and large subunit ribosomal RNA". The stretch from base 1 to 120 matches the Rfam family "5.8S ribosomal RNA", at positions 35 to 154 of the family's 154-position model. The record is from RNAcentral.
GAUGAAUAACGUAGCGAAAUGCGAUAAGUAGUGUGAAUUGCAGAAUUCAGUGAAUCAUCGAAUCUUUGAACGCACAUUGCGCCCUCUGGUAUUCCGGGGGGCAUGCCUGUUCGAGCGUCAUUGCAACCCCUCAAGCACAGCUUGUGUGUUGGGCUCUCGUCCCCCGUGGACGGGCCUGAAAUGCAGUGGCAGCACCGAGAUACCGGUGUCUGAGUGUAUGGGCAUUGAUCAUCACUCGAUAGACCCGAUCGGCGCUGACCGUCAAACCACGAUUCCUCAGAAUCAUCCAGUUUUGACCUCGGAUCAGGUAGGAAUACCCGCUGAACUUAAGCAUAUCAAUAAGCGGAGGA